Molecule: long non-coding RNA, 776 nt
Filed under: Bemisia tabaci
Lineage: Eukaryota; Metazoa; Arthropoda; Insecta; Hemiptera; Aleyrodidae
Description: lncRNA ENSSSA3NGG005896
Source: RNAcentral
GGUGCAACUCACGAACCGGGUGUUUCUCAUGUAAAUGAAAAGAAAAGUCAGAGUCUCGAUGCAAUGUCAACUACUGUUACCAUUGAUGAAAGCAUUGAUCAACAAUACGAAAGAAAUCAGAUUCUCAGUCAGAAUUACCAGGCCUUUUGAUUGGUUAUUCAGAAACACGGAUAGUGAACCAGAUAGUUGCAAAGCUACGACCGCUGCUUCCUCCGCUGUGAAGAUUAAAAAGAAACCGAGAUCAAAAAGUACCUCUUGGUUUUACACUGUUUCUGAUGAUGAUUUGGCAACUCCUAAAACUAAUUUUCAUUUAACGUCUUUUAAGUCAGGUGGUAAGUUGUCCUAUUUAGCUGAAAGCCAACUAUUAUUUGUUCGUUUUAUGUUUGCUUUAUUUCCCUCCAAGGAAACUAAUCCAAAUGCAUCCUCGCAAACUCUGUGAAACUUUUCAGAAUUGGUGAAGAAAAUUAAUUUUUCUUUAAAAUAUAAACACAUGAGUGGAUACUUACAACAUCUCAAUCUGAGGUAUGCAUUUUUCGACUUUAGCUAUCAAUAUGUACAUUUUUUGGUUGAUGCUUGGUCUAGUGGAAAUCGGAAUCAGCUAAAGCCAUGAUCAAUCGAUCGUAGUGCCUGAAAAAUUGCAGCAGAGCAAUUACUUGAAGAAUUGAUCAAUUUUCUACUUAUAUUUUGGCUCUUCAUUUGUGACUCUUAGUAUCUCAUCAUGAAUCAAGGAAUAUCAGAAGAAUUGUUGAUUUUUAAAGUUUAAAAAUAAUCUUCGA